RNAcentral lists this ribosomal RNA (498 nucleotides) under uncultured bacterium. Its description in RNAcentral is "partial 16S ribosomal RNA". It matches the Rfam family "Bacterial small subunit ribosomal RNA", at positions 30 to 523 of the family's 1533-position model. The record is from RNAcentral.
AUUGAACGCUGGCGGCAUGCCUUACACAUGCAAGUCGAACGGUAACAGGUCUUCGGAUGCUGACGAGUGGCGAACGGGUGAGUAAUACAUCGGAACGUGCCUAGUAGUGGGGGAUAACUACUCGAAAGAGUGGCUAAUACCGCAUGAGAUCUACGGAUGAAAGCAGGGGAUCGCAAGACCUUGUGCUACUAGAGCGGCCGAUGGCAGAUUAGGUAGUUGGUGGGAUAAAAGCUUACCAAGCCGACGAUCUGUAGCUGGUCUGAGAGGACGAUCAGCCAAACUGAGACUGAGACACGGCCCAGACUCCUACGGGAGGAAGCAGUGGGGAAUUUUGGACAAUGGGCGAAAGCCUGAUCCAGCAAUGCCGCGUGCAGGAUGAAGGCCUUCGGGUUGUAAACUGCUUUUGUACGGAACGAAAAGCCCCGGGUUAAUACCCUGGGGUCAUGACGGUACCGUAAGAAUAAGCACCGGCUAACUACGUGCCAGCCGCCGCGGUAA